UACGUAGGGUGCAAGCGUUAUCCGGAUUCACUGGGUUUAAAGGGUGCGUAGGUGGGUCUGUAAGUCCGUGGUGAAAUCUCCGAGCUUAACUUGGAAACUGCCAUGGAUACUAUAGAUCUCGAAUACUGUGGAGGUUAGCGGAAUAUGUCAUGUAGCGGUGAAAUGCUUAGAUAUGACAUAGAACACCAAUUGCGAAGGCAGCUGGCUACACAAAUAUUGACACUGAUGCACGAAAGCGUGGGGAUCAAACAGG
RNAcentral lists this ribosomal RNA (253 nucleotides) under uncultured bacterium. RNAcentral's name for it is "partial 16S ribosomal RNA". It matches the Rfam family "Bacterial small subunit ribosomal RNA", at positions 524 to 776 of the family's 1533-position model. The record is from RNAcentral.